ACGCUCCGGAGAAGUCCAUUACGGAUACCGAAGGUGCAAGGCGCCCGCGCGCGGGGCUGCUUAAUCUCUCAGGUAAAAGGACGGAGUA
This 88-nucleotide non-coding RNA is filed under the name human gut metagenome. Its description in RNAcentral is "Glycine riboswitch". It matches the Rfam family "Glycine riboswitch aptamer", at positions 9 to 86 of the family's 94-position model. From Rfam's summary of the family: This family represents the bacterial glycine riboswitch. Glycine riboswitches usually consist of two metabolite-binding aptamers domains with similar structures in tandem. The aptamers cooperatively bind glycine to regulate the expression of downstream genes. The record is from RNAcentral.